UACGGGGGGUGCAAGCGUUGUUCGGAUUUACUGGGCGUAAAGGGCGCGUAGGCGGUCAGCACAAGUCAGUUGUGAAAUCUCCGGGCUUAACUCGGAAAGGUCAACUGAUACUGUGCGACUAGAGUGCGGAAGGGGCAACUGGAAUUCUUGGUGUAGCGGUGAAAUGCGUAGAUAUCAAGAGGAACACCAGUGGCGAAGGCGACUCACUGGACACAUAUUGACGCUGAGGUGCGAAAGCUUGGGGAGCAAACAGG
This 254-nucleotide ribosomal RNA is filed under the name uncultured bacterium. Its description in RNAcentral is "partial 16S ribosomal RNA". It matches the Rfam family "Bacterial small subunit ribosomal RNA", at positions 524 to 776 of the family's 1533-position model. The record is from RNAcentral.